GACGAACGCUGGCGGCGUGCCUAACACAUGCAAGUCGAGCGGAGUUAGUUUGUAGCUUGCUACAAACUAACUUAGCGGCGGACGGGUGAGUAACGCGUGGAUAACCUGCCUUUUACAGGGGGAUAACACCUGGAAACUUGUGCUAAUACCACAUAACAUAUAGAAGUGGCCUCACUUUGAAAUCAACGGAGCAAUCCGGUAGAAGAUGGAUCCGCGUCCGAUUAGCUAGUUGGCGGGGUAAAGGCCCACCAAGGCGACGAUCGGUAGCCGAACUGAGAGGUUGAUCGGCCACAUUGGGACUGAGACACGGCCCAGACUCCUACGGGAGGCAGCAGUGGGGAAUAUUGCGCAAUGGGGGAAACCCUGACGCAGCAACGCCGCGUGAAGGAUGAAGGCUUUCGGGUUGUAAACUUCUUUAGUCGGGGACGAAAUAAUGACGGUACCCGAAGAAUAAGCCACGGCUAACUACGUGCCAGCCGCCGCGGUAA
This 488-nucleotide ribosomal RNA is filed under the name uncultured bacterium. Its description in RNAcentral is "partial 16S ribosomal RNA". It matches the Rfam family "Bacterial small subunit ribosomal RNA", at positions 28 to 523 of the family's 1533-position model. The record is from RNAcentral.